This 88-nucleotide transfer RNA is filed under the name Nitrospirota bacterium. RNAcentral describes it as "Nitrospirae bacterium tRNA-Ser". It matches the Rfam family "tRNA". From Rfam's summary of the family: Transfer RNA (tRNA) molecules are approximately 80 nucleotides in length. Their secondary structure includes four short double-helical elements and three loops (D, anti-codon, and T loops). The record is from RNAcentral. Lineage: Bacteria; Pseudomonadati; Nitrospirota.
GGAGGGGUGACGGAGCGGUCGAACGUGCCGGUCUUGAAAACCGGAGUGGUGAAUGCCACCGUGGGUUCGAAUCCCACCCCCUCCGCCA